ACGAACGGAUCGAACUCGUUGCGAAUCGAACUUGGUUCGAGUUCGAGCAACGGGUCGAUCCAAGCCA
This is a non-coding RNA of Drosophila persimilis, 67 nucleotides long. The record is from Rfam. NCBI's taxonomy places the organism in Eukaryota, Metazoa, Arthropoda, Insecta, Diptera, Drosophilidae.